GCGGACGUGGCGGAACUGGCAGACGCGCUAGACUUAGGAUCUAGUACCUCUGGUGUGUGGGUUCGACUCCCACCGUCCGCACCA
RNAcentral lists this transfer RNA (84 nucleotides) under Bacillota bacterium. RNAcentral's name for it is "tRNA-Leu". It matches the Rfam family "tRNA". Rfam says of the family: Transfer RNA (tRNA) molecules are approximately 80 nucleotides in length. Their secondary structure includes four short double-helical elements and three loops (D, anti-codon, and T loops). Lineage: Bacteria; Bacillati; Bacillota. The record is from RNAcentral.